AACCAAUAAUGAGGACAUAUUUGCAAAAGGUCCUUAUAUCUCUCCCAUGCAUCGUAGAGUGUUUCUAAAUCCAUCUGCAUAAAAGAAGAGAUAUUAUUACGUAAUUU
This 107-nucleotide small nucleolar RNA is filed under the name Gossypium arboreum. Its description in RNAcentral is "Plant small nucleolar RNA R71". It matches the Rfam family "Plant small nucleolar RNA R71". Rfam says of the family: R71 is a member of the C/D box family of snoRNAs containing the C (UGAUGA) and D (CUGA) box motifs. The record is from Rfam by way of RNAcentral. Lineage: Eukaryota; Viridiplantae; Streptophyta; Magnoliopsida; Malvales; Malvaceae.